UUCCAGCUCCAAUAGCGUAUAUUAAAGUUGUUGCAGUUAAAAAGCUCGUAGUUGAAUUUCGGGACCAAUAUGUCGGUCGUACUUUGUACGUACUAGCAUUAUUGGUUUCUCCCUUCUGAAGAACCACGAUGUCAUUAAUUUGGUGUCGUGGGGAAUCAGGACUGUUACUUUGAAAAAAUUAGAGUGUUUAAAGCAGGCUCGCGCUUGAAUACAUUAGCAUGGAAUAAUGAAAUAGGACGUUUGAUUCUAUUUUGUUGGUUUCUAGGAUCGACGUAAUGAUUAAUAGGGAUAGUUGGGGGCAUUAGUAUUCAAUUGUCAGAGGUGAAAUUCUUGGAUUUAUUGAAGACUAACUACUGCGAAAGCAUUUGCCAAGGAUGUUUUCAUUAAUCAAGAACGAAAGUUAGGGGAUCGAAGACGAUCAGAUACCGUCGUAGUCUUAACCAUAAACUAUGCCGACUAGGGAUCGG
This 467-nucleotide ribosomal RNA is filed under the name uncultured Glomus. RNAcentral describes it as "SSU rRNA". It matches the Rfam family "Eukaryotic small subunit ribosomal RNA", at positions 583 to 1056 of the family's 1831-position model. Lineage: Eukaryota; Fungi; Glomeromycota; Glomeromycetes; Glomerales; Glomeraceae. The record is from RNAcentral.